RNAcentral lists this ribosomal RNA (403 nucleotides) under uncultured bacterium. Its description in RNAcentral is "bacterial SSU rRNA". It matches the Rfam family "Bacterial small subunit ribosomal RNA", at positions 28 to 410 of the family's 1533-position model. The record is from RNAcentral.
GAUGAACGCUGGCGGCGUGCUUAACACAUGCAAGUCGAACGAAGCAUUUGCGCAGAUUUCUUCGGAUUGAAGCACGUAUGACUGAGUGGCGGACGGGUGAGUAACGCGUGGGUAACCUGCCUUUCACAGGGGGACAACAGCUGGAAACGGCUGCUAAUACCGCAUAACCCGCUAGGGCCGCAUGGCCUGGACGGAAAAGGAGCAAUCCGGUGAAAGAUGGACCCGCGUCUGAUUAGCUAGUUGGUGAGGUAACGGCCCACCAAGGCGACGAUCAGUAGCCGAACUGAGAGGUUGACCGGCCACAUUGGGACUGAGACACGGGCCCAAACUCCUACGGGAGGCAGCAGUGGGGAAUAUUGCACAAUGGGGGAAACCCUGAUGCAGCGACGCCGCGUGAGUGAAG